GGCUGGUCCAAAAGUAGUGAAUUAUCUCAAUUGAUUUUUCAUAGCCAGUUACAGAUUGAGCUCCUGCUCUAAACCUUCCCCGCUUCUCACUGCUGCACUUGAUCAAAGA
RNAcentral lists this non-coding RNA (109 nucleotides) under Mus pahari (shrew mouse). The record is from RNAcentral. Lineage: Eukaryota; Metazoa; Chordata; Mammalia; Rodentia; Muridae.